GACGAACGCUGGCGGCGUGCCUAAUACAUGCAAGCUGAGCGAUGAAGAUUGGUGCUUGCACCAAUUUGAAGAGCAGCGAACGGGUGAGUAACGCGUGGGGAAUCUGCCUUUGAGCGGGGGACAACAUUUGGAAACGAAUGCUAAUACCGCAUAAUAACUUUAAACAUAAGUUUUAAGUUUGAAAGAUGCAAUUGCAUCACUCAAAGAUGAUCCCGCGUUGUAUUAGCUAGUUGGUGAGGUAAAGGCUCACCAAGGCGAUGAUACAUAGCCGACCUGAGAGGGUGAUCGGCCACAUUGGGACUGAGACACGGCCCAAACUCCUACGGGAGGCAGCAGUAGGGAAUCUUCGGCAAUGGACGAAAGUCUGACCGAGCAACGCCGCGUGAGUGAAGAAGGUUUUCGGAUCGUAAAACUCUGUUGGUAGAGAAGAACGUUGGUGAGAGUGGAAAGCUCAUCAAGUGACGGUAACUACCCAGAAAGGGACGGCUAACUACGUG
This 497-nucleotide ribosomal RNA is filed under the name uncultured bacterium. Its description in RNAcentral is "partial 16S ribosomal RNA". It matches the Rfam family "Bacterial small subunit ribosomal RNA", at positions 28 to 507 of the family's 1533-position model. The record is from RNAcentral.